GGAGAAGCUACUGCCUACCGCUCGCUCAUCCUGCUCUUGGCUGAGCAUCCCUGGCAGCGCAGGCUAGUUCCACAGCCUAAGCUUCCCGAUUUGAGCAGACGCUGUUCCCUUCUGGAAGGACCACCGGGGCUAGCAACUGGAGGUUGCUCUGCGGAUUUUAGGCACUCAGAGCCGGUUUGAAGGAAGGAGGGACUAGGUUUGGAGAAGAGCCGGCGCCUCUUAAAACUCUUGGUGCCUAAAAUGAGUGAGAUGGUGGCCAAAUAGAGCGGAGGGAGAUUAUCUCAUUUUGAAUAUCCAGGACUUCUGGAUGCGCCAGCGAUGUGUACAGCAACUGUCGAUUUGGCAGCAGACUGGACUCGGUCAAUUGCAAUUCCUUUCCUACUUCAAGCUUACCUCCCCCAGAGCUGUGCUCAGACUGUCCUCACAGCCUCCAGGUGGGAGGGAGCUGAGCGAGAGGGAAUCAAAAGUCAGCUUCCUUUUGCUCUCCGCUGGUGGCAGAUGCGCAGCUGGUUGGUCCUAAGCAGGCCAAAUGUUUGCAAAGAGGAGCAGCUGACGGUGAUAGGCCUGUCACGCCCAUGCACCCGAGCGUUCGUAGACUCCGUCAAGUUCUGGAAACAAGGCUGUACAGGCCCACGGGGGUGUGUGGCUUAUGAAAGAAGGACCCGCUACUACACUGUCUACAGGCAGGUGUAUACCACAGAACACCAGACUGUCUUCAGGUGCUGCCCUGGUUGGAGCCGAUGGGAUGAUGAACCAGGCUGUCUCUCCUCUGUGUCUUCUCUGGGAACCCAUUUCAGUGGAAGGCAGUGCUCAGAUGGUGGUGAUCAUCGGUGCCUCUGCUCACAAGGGUUUCAUGGACCCCACUGUCAAUAUGAUAUAAACGAAUGUGCUGUUGACAAUGGGGGCUGUCAAGACCAGUGCUGCAAUACGAUUGGCAGUUAUUUCUGCAGAUGUCAAGCUGGCCAAAAGCUGGAGGAAGAUGGCAGAGGAUGUGAAGACAUCGAUGAAUGUGCGGUGGUGAAUGGGGGCUGCCAGCAGCGCUGUAUUAACACUCUGGGCACCUUCCACUGUGUGUGUGAUACAGGGUACAGACGCCAUGCUGAUGGACGCACCUGCAUAAAGACAGACCCCUGUGCAGGUGGGAAUGGCUGUGCUCACCUAUGUCAAAUCGAGAAUGGCGUGGCCAGGUGUACCUGUCAUGCUGGGUACCAGCUGUCUGAAGACAAAAAGGCCUGCGAAGACAUAAAUGAGUGUGAUGAAGAACUUGCUCCCUGUGCUCACCGCUGUGUGAAUUCAGAGGGGUCCUUCACUUGUGCCUGCCACCCUGGCUUCGAGCUAGGAGCUGAUGGAAAACAUUGUUACAGAAUUGAAUUAGAAAUUGUAAAUAUCUGUGAAAAGAACAAUGGUGGUUGUUCUCAUCACUGUGAACCUGCAAUUGGUGGACCCCAUUGUUCCUGUAACCAUGGACAUCAGCUCGACACAGAUGAGAAGACAUGUAUAGACUUUGAUGAAUGUGAGAGCGGAGAUGCCUGCUGUGCUCAGCUCUGCAUCAACUAUUCAGGAGGCUACGAGUGCAGCUGUCAGGAAGGCUUUCAGAUCAGUUUGGAUGGUUGUGGAUGUGAUGAUGUGGAUGAGUGCCUGGAUAUCAAUGUGGACUGUGGCCAGCUGUGCAUCAACUCCAUAGGGACAUAUGACUGUGCCUGUGAAGAAGGCUACAGAAUGGGAAGUGAUGGAAGAACCUGUCUCGAUGAUGAACAGCUAGAGGAGGAAGAAGAGGUACUAGACAUCCUGAGGUUUCCAGGCCAUCUGGUUCAAAACCCACCUCAGCCGUUCCCUUAUCUUGAUCCUUCUCUGAUUGCUUCAUAUGAAGAUGAAGACAAUAAUGAAGAAGACCAGGAAGCAGAAGAAGAGUUCCAACAGCUGACAGCCUUGCACAGAGUGGUCUGUUUAGAUGGCACCUUUGGCCUGGACUGCAGCUUGAGCUGUGAGGACUGCAGGAAUGGAGGGAGGUGUCGCGAAGGAACGAGCGGGUGCCUCUGCCCAGAAGGCUGGACCGGCAUUCUUUGCAAUGAAAGCAACACCUUAAGAACUGGUGAGGACCGACAAGCUCCUUUGGGAUGCCUGAAAGGGUUCUUUGGAAAGAACUGCAAAAGAAAAUGUCACUGUGCCAACAAUGGCCAUUGCCACAGGAUAUUUGGAGCCUGUAUAUGUGACCUAGGGCGCUACGGAAGAUUCUGUCAUCUCAGUUGUCCCAGAGGGACGUAUGGAGCUGGCUGUUCUGUGGAAUGUCAGUGUGUGGAGGAGAACACCCUGGAAUGCAGUGCCAAAAAUGGUAGUUGCACCUGCAAAUCUGGUUACCAAGGCAACAGAUGCCAGGAAGCCUGCCCUGAUGGCCUCUGGGGACCAGAAUGCCAGUUUUCCUGUGGACUCUGUGAAAAUGGAGGUCAUUGUAAUGGAAGCUCUGGAAACUGUGACUGUGCUCCUGGUUACACAGGAAAAUCCUGUGCCAUGUUCUGCCCACCAGGCACGUAUGGGAAAGACUGUAACCAGAGAUGUCAGUGUUCAGCAACUGAGGACUGUCAUCCAGUCACCGGAAGAUGUUCCUGUCUGCCUGGCUACCAUGGAAACCACUGUCAGCUCCGGUGCCCAAAAGACACUUAUGGUCCAAAUUGCCAAGAAACAUGUAAGUGCCUGAACGGAGGUCAGUGUGAGAGCGUGCAUGGCACCUGUACCUGUCCUCCUGGCUUCGUCGGGGCGGACUGCAGUCAAACUUGUCCUGGAGGUAAUUAUGGCCAGGAUUGUGCCCAACGUUGUUCCUGCGGCUCAGGAAAGUGUGACCCAGUGACAGGAAGAUGUCAUUGUCCACCCGGCCUGAUGGGAUCAAGGUGUCAGCAAGGUUGUCCCCAGACAAGAUAUGGCACCAAUUGUGACCUCGAAUGUCUGUGUAAAAAUGGUGGACUCUGCAAUCCUGUGGAUGGGAGCUGCUCCUGUGGCCUUGGGUGGACCGGGGAUUACUGUGAGAAAGGCAAGCUGAUGGCACCUUCUUACCGUCACAAUGUAUACACUUUAGAACUCAUCACUAUGGGUUGCUGAGUAGAGGCCUAUGAAGAAACUAUUUUCCAAUAACCUGUUUAUAAUUAGGAUCACAUUUCCAAUAAAAUUGUACAAAUAUUGAUCAUUAAUCAUUACCUAGUUUCUAGACUAUCACAGGAAAACUCUGAAACAUCUUAAGAAAUUGAAAUAGUAUUGGUGGUAACAAAUUACCCUGAGAACUCAAUUCCACUUUUUACCCUAAAACCCAAAGCCAUUGUAGACAUCAAAUUGGCUGAGCCUAGAGAUUUUAAACAGGGGCCUGAAGAAGACAACACUCACAGAGGACUUAACAAAUGGUUAGAAUACACUGGUCUUUGGGAGUGGAGUGGGUAUGUGUGUCCUGGGACAGGUGGUUCAUGUCUUUAAUCUCAACACUAUGGAGACUGAAGGGGAGCUGGGAUGUAUAGCCCUGGCUGCAUAGCAAAACAUGAAAUAUGAAAUGGCUAUCCCCAUUACUGUUCCACAUUCUAGGGGGUGUUUUGUUGUUAUUCUCAUUUAUUUGUUCUUUCAAAUGAAUGUUAUAAUCAUUUAUUUAGGGAAAACAUGUUUUUGUUGUUUCAUUGUAUUGUGUUUCCUCAGGAAGAAUCACAUUCUUAGGUUAACUCAUUGUAUUCAAGAACAAACAGUUCAUCCUUUGUUCCAUAUUUUAUUCCUUAUCAAUAAAGGUGCUGGCUCUAGCAUUCACAUUAAGAUAUUCAGGUUAAGGAGCAAAUAAUUAAUUUUCUAAUCCAUUCAAUACCUUACUAUAUUUUAGUGAAUUUAUUACAAGGCCUUUCCUCAUCUCUGCAGUUUAUUAUAUGAGUUUUCUCUUUAGUCUGAUAGCAUAUGUGAUGUAAUAUUAAUGAAUUUCUAAUACUAAGUUGCCUUACAUUACAAGAAUAAAUACUGUGUGACCAUGAUUAACUAUUUCAUAAAGUGCUAUUAGAUUCUAUAUACUUUUGUAUUCUAUGAUUUUGGCAUUGAUAUCCAAGAGGAAAAUGGAGCUGCUUUUAUAUGCAACCUUUUCCAGUUUUUAAAAUUGAUGUUCCAUACAUUCAGUAAAAAGUAUUUGGAAAUUUCCUUUCUCUUUCAGUGUUCUGGAAUACUAUACUCUAAGUCUAGAUGGUGCCCUGCCUAGUGAAAGUUUGUAGACUACUCUGUGAAUCUGAAUAGCUCUUUCUUUUUCUCCCUUUUACUCUUAUUCAAAUGUUAAGAACUGUUACUGUACUUAUCUAGGUUUUCUGCGUCAAAUUAAGAUGGUUUGGCGUGUUCUUCUGGUAAUUACGGCCCAGGCUGCAAAUUCAAUUGCUCAUGUCAGAAUGGUGGGAUUUGCAGCAGGCUUUCUGGAGGCUGUGAGUGCCCCAGAGGGUACUACGGACAAAGCUGUGAGCAUG
Non-coding RNA from Peromyscus maniculatus bairdii (prairie deer mouse), 4466 nucleotides. NCBI's taxonomy places the organism in Eukaryota, Metazoa, Chordata, Mammalia, Rodentia, Cricetidae. The record is from RefSeq and is a predicted model, not a curated record.